CACCGCCAGUCACACUAUAGGAGCUGGCCCUGUUUGAAGUCAUUACCCUUAACCGUGAGGGGAUGCCUAAAGCUAGGCUUGCGAGUGAAGUCGUAACAAGAUAGCCGUAUUGGAAGGUGCGGCUG
Molecule: non-coding RNA, 125 nt
Filed under: Brachypodium distachyon (stiff brome)
Lineage: Eukaryota; Viridiplantae; Streptophyta; Magnoliopsida; Poales; Poaceae
Description: Bacterial small subunit ribosomal RNA
Rfam family: Bacterial small subunit ribosomal RNA
Source: Rfam by way of RNAcentral